UACAGAGGGUGCAAGCGUUGUUCGGAAUUAUUGGGCGUAAAGCGCGUGUAGGCGGCUUUGCAAGUCGGUCGUGAAAUCCCUCGGCUCAACCGAGGAACGUCGAUCGAUACUGCUGUUCUUGAGGAUUGCAGAGGAGACUGGAAUUCCCGGUGUAGCGGUGAAAUGUGUAGAGAUCGGGAGGAACACCGGUGGCGAAGGCGGGUCUCUGGGCAAUUCCUGACGCUGAGGCGCGAAAGCGUGGGGAGCAAACGGG
RNAcentral lists this ribosomal RNA (253 nucleotides) under uncultured bacterium. RNAcentral describes it as "partial 16S ribosomal RNA". It matches the Rfam family "Bacterial small subunit ribosomal RNA", at positions 524 to 776 of the family's 1533-position model. The record is from RNAcentral.